UUGUGACGUCGAUUUGAGACAUUUUCACCCUGACACCCGUCGCCAGUCGACGACGGUCACUGGGCUGCGUUUCUCUUUUCAUUUUCAUUCGUUCGUUCGUUCGUUCGCUCCUUUGCUUGCACGCUUUCAUUUCUGUUUCGUUCGUUAUUACGAACGAAUCGAAGAAUCAACGAUUCGAUUCAUACUAAACAACAACAACGGCAACGUAAUUAUACCGCUUGUACAAAGGACGGAAUCUGGGGUUAAAAAAAAAAAAAAAAACAAAAAAAGGAAAAAAAAGGAAAAUCAUCAACGUGCAGUUUCUUUCGGCCUCCCUCCCACCCCCCCUACCCUUGUGUGAUCAUCAUGCUUGAUCCAGUUCUGCUUGGUCAUCAUCCUCGUCGGUGUUCCAGGAUGCGUAAAACUUUGUGGCUGAAUGAGAUCCGGUCGAGAAGCUGAUAACGUAUCGUGUACACGCACACUCCAUUCCGUGGACCGCCCCAACUCAACUUUUUUGAAAACGUGCGGCGAAGCAGCUGUCGUUAUAGUCGAAGGCUGGAGCAGCCUGCGCUGCAUGGACCUACUACAAGAAUAUAAUUAGUUUACCAAGAACGAACGGACGACUGGGCCCUGGUUAUAGUUCCGCGUGCCUGAGUGUGCGUGUGAGCCACUUGAGUCCCCCCCAAAGGCGAAGGAACGGUCCUCGGCUUACACCGGGCAAGCGAGUCGAGAGCCAGGGUCGUUUCUUUUCUAUCAGAAGCUUGAACAGCCACGGACUUUGUCUCGGAAACACGUGCGUGUCCCUCCGUAGCGAAAACGAAAUUCAGGAGCAGAAAGAAGACCUUCGACGAUGCAAGAAUAUCCAGCGGCUCUCAUCGGUCGUCUUCAUCGUUUCGACGGCGAUAUUCUCUCCUGAAUAUCUGUACGACGUGCGCAAGUGAAUAACUGCAAAGUGCCCAAAGUCCCUUAUCAUUCUCUAGCCCGGUGUUAAAUGUUCGAUACCUACUGGACGGAGAACUGAUAAGGGCCCGCGGGAUACGAACUCAUCGUGGGAA
This is a long non-coding RNA of Neodiprion virginianus, 1034 nucleotides long. RefSeq lists it as uncharacterized. Lineage: Eukaryota; Metazoa; Arthropoda; Insecta; Hymenoptera; Diprionidae. The transcript is spliced from 4 exons. The record is from RefSeq and is a predicted model, not a curated record.